RNAcentral lists this ribosomal RNA (468 nucleotides) under uncultured bacterium. RNAcentral describes it as "partial 16S ribosomal RNA". It matches the Rfam family "Bacterial small subunit ribosomal RNA", at positions 28 to 507 of the family's 1533-position model. The record is from RNAcentral.
GACGAACGCUGGCGGCGUGCUUAACACAUGCAAGUCGAACGGAAAGGCCCUGCUUUCGUGGGGUGCUCGAGUGGCGAACGGGUGAGUAACACGUGAGUAACCUGCCCUUGACUUUGGGAUAACUUCAGGAAACUGGGGCUAAUACCGGAUAGGAGCUCCUGCUGCAUGGUGGGGGUUGGAAAGUUUCGGCGGUUGGGGAUGGACUCGCGGCUUAUCAGCUUGUUGGUGGGGUAGUGGCUUACCAAGGCUUUGACGGGUCGCCGGCCUGAGAGGGUGACCGGCCACAUUGGGACUGAGAUACGGCCCAGACUCCUACGGGAGGCAGCAGUGGGGAAUAUUGCACAGUGGGCGGAAGCCUGAUGCAGCAACGCCGCGUGCGGGAUGACGGCCUUCGGGUUGUAAACCGCUUUCGCCUGUGACGAAGCGUGAGUGACGGUAAUGGGUAAAGAAGCACCGGCUAACUACGUG